CGCGCUCGAAUGUUAGCACAGACUGAGUCUGUGGUGUAAGUCUAAGCUUGGUCUAAGUAAAGAUGUCUGGCUGUCUGUUUCUUCACUGACUUUUCUUUUACAUUUAAUGUCAGUACGUACAUAUUUGUAAUGGCAGACCCACUGAUCUACAUACUUGUCACUUUUACUAAAAGUGGAGAAUUGGGCAUUGGCACAUUGGAGGCCAUAGCAGUGCCGAAAGAUUUCCAUGACCAUAGUUUCGAUGAUCAGCUCGAGCAAUUAAAAGGUUUUGUUGGAACAAAAAAAGUUAUUGGGAUCAAUUGGCCCAAGUUUCCCAGCAAUCCUGGUUGGAACCUACCCGUUGAGUUGACUACCAAAUCUAGAUCCCAAAUUCAACAUGACAUGAGAUCAUGUAAAGUUAUCUCGUACUCAGAGGACAGAGAUGUGGUGGUGGCAGUACGAGAUGCCAUGGUGCCUCCUAUCAGUGUCCAAAAGCCAGUAGCCAAAAAAUCAGCCCCGAAGUCAUGAAAAAUGAAGAAAAGUCCGAUACAUCUGCUGACAGCAGCCUUCAUCAUGAUGAUGAUCAGCAAGGAAUUUUUUCUUCAGAAUCAGAGUCUGACGAAGAUUUGAUUCCUCCGCCUCCAACGAAGAGAAAACGUAGCAAUCAGUCUGUCAAAUCAUUGGGCAACACCAAAUCCAAGAGAAAUUCAAGUCACAACAAGGAAAAUUCAUUUGUCACACCAAAAAGAAACGAAAAGUCAUCAGCGAAGAAUUCUGACUCUCAGAUUCUUACUUCUUUGGACUUCAACAUUUUUGACACCCCCCCAAGUUCCACAACAAAAGAAAACCCGAAGCGUGUGCUGGUAAUAAAUGCAACAUGAUUGUAAGAAUUAUUUCUUUAUUUAAUUUGUAUUUUCCGUUUAAGGACGAACCAUUGACGGAGCCAGUUAAUGCUGACGUUCAAGACGACGUUUAUGUGCAGCCCCACUUUCGAGUUCAACAGAUUUCCUGUUCUUUCAGUCAUUCAUUCUUUUCUUUUUCAAUUUUCUACUUUUUUUAUGUUUCAUUUUCAACUUCUUUGAAUAAUCUCCUCCAUCGCGCAGCAUGGUCACCUCGACACAACGUUAUUUGCUCUUUUCCGAUGACCCUCCCAUCCUCUCUCUAUCAUCCUUUCAGCUUCUUAAGAGGUCAUUUUUUUCCCUGCCGUUUCUCUCUUCUAAUUCAAAGUUGAUUGUACCGGAUUGUACGUAUAUUCGUUACGUUUUAGUUAACGUCAUUUCAAAAACAUAGAAUCGUGUCGUAAUUGAUUGAGUUUCGAGUCCAUGUUGCCGUGAAAACUCUCGAGCAAGAGUUCAGUGUGUUGACGAGAAAACUCCCCUCCUACAUUUUCCUCAUUUGUAAUACAGGUUGACUGUAAAGUUUAAAUGUCGGGCAGUCUGUCCAUUUGCUCGUCGACGACACCUCCGACGAAUUGCCGUUGCUGAAAAUUGUCGUUUUUUAUUGGUGUUAAAUUGAAUUAACGCGGAAGUGGCCAACAUUGAACUUAGAUAUUGCUCGUAUUCUUAUUGUGUUCAUUUUAAAUGUAAAAAUGUAUGUGUGGUGUAUUUUAAUCGAUGUCCCUCCAAGGCCUACUUGUAACAUGGAAAAGAAUUUGAUUAAACCAAUGAUGGUUUAAUUUCAAUACAAAGAUUUCAGUUCCUUUAAAGCUAA
RNAcentral lists this unclassified non-coding RNA (1689 nucleotides) under Daphnia pulicaria. RNAcentral describes it as "uncharacterized LOC124312617, transcript variant X1". Lineage: Eukaryota; Metazoa; Arthropoda; Branchiopoda; Diplostraca; Daphniidae. The record is from RNAcentral.